GAAUUGUCCAUGUUGGACGCAGACUCGACCAAUGGGAGCGGAGAUCGUCUACGUUGAACGUGGACUGUUGCACUACUCUGGCCCCAUCCUCUGCGAACUCCCCAAAUGUGGGAAUCUCGACUGCAUAAUUUCUGGUAGUGGGGGACUGCGUCCGCGCUCUCCCCUG
This is a non-coding RNA of Oryzias latipes (Japanese medaka), 166 nucleotides long. Lineage: Eukaryota; Metazoa; Chordata; Actinopteri; Beloniformes; Adrianichthyidae. The record is from RefSeq and is a predicted model, not a curated record.